Molecule: microRNA precursor, 89 nt
Filed under: Lytechinus variegatus (green sea urchin)
Lineage: Eukaryota; Metazoa; Echinodermata; Echinoidea; Temnopleuroida; Toxopneustidae
Description: microRNA lva-mir-33 precursor
Gene: lva-mir-33
Rfam family: mir-33 microRNA precursor family (bases 12-80)
Source: miRBase by way of RNAcentral
CUUUCUUGAAGCCAUGGUGCAUUGUAGUUGCAUUGCAUGUUUUUCUGUAGCAAAUGUAGUGCAAAUACAGUGCAAAAUGGAGGCAAGAU